UUAAAUAGCCGCUUUUGUGCUAAGGUAGCAUAAUAAUUUGUCUUUUAAUUAAAGACUAGAACAAAAGACUUAACAUCUUAAAUAAUUUUUUUAUAAAAAUUAUUUAAAUUAUCUUAAUUGUAAAAAGACAAUUAUUCAAUAGAAAGACGAUAAGACCCUAUCGAACUUUACUUUAGUUUAACUGGGGUAGUUAAUUAAUUAUUACUUUAAAAAAANNUUAAAUUUUUAAUUUGACCUAAUAUAAUUAAUAAAAUAAUUAAGUUACCGUAGGGAUAACAGCACAAUAAAAUUUUUUAGAUCUUAUUUAAAANUAAAGAUUGUGACCUCGAUGUUGAUUUAAUAUCCUAUUUCACGCAAUAGUAAAACUAAGGAAGUCUGUUCGACUUUUAAAAAAUUACAUGAUUUGAGUUCAGACCGGUGUAAACCAGGUCGGUUUCUAUCUUCUACAAAAUAUUUCUUCUAGUACGAAAGGACCUAAGANAAAUAAUAAUAUUAUCAUAUUGGCAGAACU
This 511-nucleotide ribosomal RNA is filed under the name Schizocosa bilineata. RNAcentral describes it as "partial 16S ribosomal RNA". The stretch from base 140 to 446 matches the Rfam family "Bacterial large subunit ribosomal RNA", at positions 2073 to 2647 of the family's 2925-position model. Lineage: Eukaryota; Metazoa; Arthropoda; Arachnida; Araneae; Lycosidae. The record is from RNAcentral.